Long non-coding RNA from Brassica oleracea var. oleracea, 1461 nucleotides. RefSeq lists it as uncharacterized. Lineage: Eukaryota; Viridiplantae; Streptophyta; Magnoliopsida; Brassicales; Brassicaceae. The transcript is spliced from 4 exons. The record is from RefSeq and is a predicted model, not a curated record.
UCUACGACGCGGAAUUGACGAGGCUCUUCUCCUCUACCACAGAGUCUGCAUUGAUUUUAGGUAUGAUCGUGACAUCUGCAUUGAUAAUAUGGAAGGCGUUGAUGUGUGUGACUGGCACAGAGUCUCCAGUAGUGGAUGUUCUCUCUCGAAGCAUGGAACCUGCCUUUAAGAGAGUUAAGUUUUAAUCUUUUGGUUCUGUUUACUUGACUAUGACCAACCUUGCACAUAAUCUUCGGGUGGUUGUUUUGUAAUCUGUUUGAGGGUAAUGUGACAAGGGGAUAUAUUAUUCUUACAUAUGACCAAGGAUCCCAUUCGAGCAGGCGAGAUGGUUGUAAUUGGUGUUAUGUGUUAUGUCUGUAGUUGCCUCAAUGUGUAUAACACAUCAUUUUUUAAUUGCCUUGAUGUUUCUUCUUUCAGAGUCGUGAUGUACCAUCGUCCAUCGUGCCAUCAAAGUUCAUGAGAGGGAGAAUACAGGAGAAAUUAAUGUUAUAAUAAAAGGUGACAAAAAUGAUGUGGAUAACAUGGGUCUCUAUGCUGAUGGACAGUUUUGGCUUCAUCGGCACCAUAUAAUGGGCAGAGCUGUUGGGUAAGUUUAUGUCCACGGUGGACCGGAAGCAGCAGCUUAUGUAAGAAAAAACGCCAUAAGAAUAUUCUUGAAAGAAGUCAAGAGUUCUUUGAGAAACGUGUUUCUUCAGGCGGAUCUUGGUUUAGCAGAGGAACACAACAUCAGCUCUUCUUACGCUACCACGGCUCUUGCUCCCCUUUUAUGGAAGACACUUAAUGGUGGCAAAUACAGGGGAUUCUUCUCUGUAGGAAUGGUAAUGCCAUACACAUGUCUCAAGAACACAGACCAAUCUACUUACCGGAAAGAAGAAGAGUGGAAGAAUGUGGCGGCUUUGCCAUGACGGUUACUUAAACGGCAGUCUCAGUCACACGAACUCUAGGAUUUGGGCAUGAAACUACCACGAGGGUCACGAUCUCCACUCAUAGCGGAUUCAGAGAUCAAACAUUACGUUUAACAGAGGAAUACGAGUUUCUGAUAAUGGGAUCCGACGGGAUUUGGGACGUUUUGACAAGUCAAGAAGGUGUUAGGCGUGCUGUCACAGUGAUCGGAUGAGAAGUGCUCGAGAGCUUGCUUUGGAGGCUUUAAGGCUAAAUACGUUUGAUAACCCAACGACGCGGUUGGUGUUUGUUUCCUGCUGAUGAUAUGGCGAUGGCGGCUCCUCCAGUGGAGAAGCAACAGUGUUUUAGUUUGGCGGCAGAAGCUUUCAAUAAGAUGGCUGAACUAAAAGAUGAUGACCCUUUUGUGUUCGCGGCUGAGUAUUUUCUUGCUUUUUUAUAUUUUGUGUAUGUAUGCAAGUUCAAAUGUCUACGUACUCCAUUUUUGAGUAGGCGGUUAUUGUUUCGUGCAUGGAUUCAAGUUUAUGUACCUGCUCCAUUUAGCUUAUAUAUAUACAUCGA